This 605-nucleotide long non-coding RNA is filed under the name Manacus vitellinus (golden-collared manakin). RNAcentral describes it as "lncRNA (ENSMVIG00005017470.1)". The record is from RNAcentral. Lineage: Eukaryota; Metazoa; Chordata; Aves; Passeriformes; Pipridae.
CAGCACUGCUUCCAGUCACUUCUCCCUCACUUUCUCAGAAGAAAUGGAUGAUAAUUUAUCAGGCCAUUGCACAUUGAUCUAAAAAGUCCAGCUCUUCGUAGAAAGACGAGUCCCUUUUGUGUCUCAGCACCUCUGAUGAGCAGAAACUGCUGUGAACCAGCAAACUUCAGCAUCCAGUUGUAAUGAGGGAAAAAUACUUACACUGUAAAUUUUAAAGGAGAAAGAAUAAGAUCAGCCCUGUGGAAACCACACAUAUGGAGGAGUUUGCAGAAGGCUGUGCCACCUCUGAGUGCCAAAUUGCAGUUCCAAGUAAUCUGCUUGGCCAGUAAUGGAAUGAAGCAGGGAAUACAACCCUAUACUACCUUUACUUGAAGGACUUCAAUCUGCUAUAGAAGCAUAAAGUAAUUAAAUCUCAUAACAGCUGGAAGAGGCAGGCAAAAGACCUCUUUUAUUUAAAGGGACUCUUUCCCUGUCUUAGAACAGGAGCCACAGCAGGUGCUUAACAGCAGAUUGCAACAGUCUACAUCUGCAAAGGGAAGAGAAGGGAAAGAACUAACAUGCCCACAAAAUGUUGAAGGGAAUUUGAUCCAGACUCAUCCUUUAUU